Molecule: ribosomal RNA, 473 nt
Filed under: uncultured bacterium
Lineage: Bacteria
Description: bacterial SSU rRNA
Rfam family: Bacterial small subunit ribosomal RNA
Source: RNAcentral
AGUAGUUGACUCGUGGACACGAGACACGCUGGCGGCGUGCUUAACACAUGCAAGUCGAGCGGGUGCAGCAAUGCACCAGCGGCGGACGGGUGAGUAACGCGUGAACAAUCUGCCUCUAUCAGCGGGAUAACACAUAGAAAUAGGUGCUAAUACCGCAUAAGACCACGAUUUCGCAUGAAGAAGUGGUAAAAGCUCCGACGGAUAGAGAUGAGUUCGCGUCCCAUUAGCUAGUUGGUGAGGUAACGGCCCACCAAGGCGACGAUGGGUAGCCGACCUGAGAGGGUGAUCGGCCACAUUGGAACUGAGAAACGGUCCAAACUCCUACGGGAGACAGCAGUGGGGAAUAUUGGGCAAUGGGCGCAAGCCUGACCCAGCAACGCCGCGUGAAGGAUGAAGGUUUUCGGAUUGUAAACUUCUGUCGCGAGGGACGAAGAAUGACGGUACCUCGUAAGAAAGCCCCGGCAAACUACGUG